Molecule: transfer RNA, 118 nt
Filed under: Operophtera brumata (winter moth)
Lineage: Eukaryota; Metazoa; Arthropoda; Insecta; Lepidoptera; Geometridae
Rfam family: tRNA
About the family: Transfer RNA (tRNA) molecules are approximately 80 nucleotides in length. Their secondary structure includes four short double-helical elements and three loops (D, anti-codon, and T loops).
Source: Rfam by way of RNAcentral
GUCAGGAUGGCCGAGCGGUCUAAGGCGCCAGACUCAAGGUUACCCCUUGCCUGUAAAGCAGGCUGAUGAGCUGUUCUGGUCCUCUCUGAGGGCGUGGGUUCGAAUCCCACUUCUGACA